UGCCCCAGUAACGGCGAGUGAAGCGGCAACAGCUCAAAUUUGAAAUCUGGCCCUCCCGGGGUCCGAGUUGUAAUUUGCAGAGGGUGCUUUGGCAUCGGCUGCGGUCCAAGUCCCUUGGAACAGGGCGUCGGAGAGGGUGAGAAUCCCGUAUCUGGCCGCCAGCCUUCGCCGUGUAAAGCCCCUUCGACGAGUCGAGUUGUUUGGGAAUGCAGCUCCAAGUGGGAGGUAAAUUUCUUCUAAAGCUAAAUACCGGCCAGAGACCGAUAGCGCACAAGUAGUGUGAACGAAAGAUGAAAAGCACUUUGGAAAGAGAGUCAAAAAGCACGUGAAAUUGUUGAAAGGGAAGCGCUUGCAGCCAGACGUGCCCGCGGUCGCUCAGCCAGGCCCUCGGCCUGGUGCACUCCUCCGCGGGCAGGCCAGCAUCGGUUCCGGUGGUCGGACAAAGGCCUGCUAAACGUACCUCCCCCGGGAGGACUUAUAGGGUAGGUGGCAUACGACCAGCUGGGAUCGAGGUCCGCGCUUCGGCGAGGAUGCUGGCGUAAUGGUGGCAAGCGGCCCGUCUUGAAACACGGACCAANGGAGUCUAACAUCUAUGCGAGUGUUUGGGUGGCAAGCCCGGGCGCGCAAUGAAAGUGAACGGAGGUGGGAUCCCUUCGCCGGGUGCACCAUCGACCGAUCCUGAAGUCUUCGGAUGGAUUUGAGUAAGAGCAUAGCUGUUGGGACCCGAAAGAUGGUGAACUAAGCUUGAAUAGGGUGAAGCCAGAGGAAACUCUGGUGGAGGCUCGCAGCGGUUCUGACGUGCAAAUCGAUCGUCAAAUUUGGGCUUAGGGGCGAAAGACUAAUCGAACCAUCGACGGCUACUAGGUGGUUGAGAGGGCCUCCCCCCGCGGGGGAGGGAGCGCCCUAGUCUCGCGCGCGGAGGCUACGCCGUCAAAUUGUCGGGGACACCCUGAGAGCUUUU
This 961-nucleotide ribosomal RNA is filed under the name Phaeoseptum mali. Its description in RNAcentral is "partial large subunit ribosomal RNA". It matches the Rfam family "Eukaryotic large subunit ribosomal RNA", at positions 76 to 1443 of the family's 3401-position model. The record is from RNAcentral. Lineage: Eukaryota; Fungi; Ascomycota; Dothideomycetes; Pleosporales; Phaeoseptaceae.